This 449-nucleotide ribosomal RNA is filed under the name uncultured bacterium. RNAcentral describes it as "partial 16S ribosomal RNA". It matches the Rfam family "Bacterial small subunit ribosomal RNA", at positions 29 to 523 of the family's 1533-position model. The record is from RNAcentral.
AACGAACGCUGGCGGCAGGCCUAACACAUGCAAGUCGAGCGAGACCUUCGGGUCUAGCGGCGGACGGGUGAGUAACGCGUGGGAAUAUGCCCUUUGGUACGGAAUAGCCUCGGGAAACUGAGAGUAGUACCGUAUGUGCCCUUCGGGGGAAAGAUUUAUCGCCAAAGGAUUAGCCCGCGUUGGAUUAGGUAGUUGGUGGGGUAAUGGCCUACCAAGCCUACGAUCCAUAGCUGGUUUGAGAGGAUGAUCAGCCACACUGGGACUGAGACACGGCCCAGACUCCUACGGGAGGCAGCAGUGGGGAAUCUUAGACAAUGGGGGCAACCCUGAUCUAGCCAUGCCGCGUGAGUGAUGAAGGCCUUAGGGUUGUAAAGCUCUUUCAGCUGGGAAGAUGAUGACGGUACCAGCAGAAGAAGCCCCGGCUAACUCCGUGCCAGCAGCCGCCGUAA